CCUUGUGUGGAUCCUAUUUCAAUGGGAACUUGAUGAGUCAAUCCACCUACACGUACCCUUCUGAUUAGCUAGUUGGUGAGGUAAUAGCUUACCAAGGCGAUGAUCAGUAGCUGGUCAGAGAGGAUGAUCAGCCACACUGGGACUGAGACACGGCCCAGACUCCUACGGGAGGC
RNAcentral lists this small RNA (173 nucleotides) under Helianthus annuus (common sunflower). Its description in RNAcentral is "Microsporidia small subunit ribosomal RNA". It matches the Rfam family "Bacterial small subunit ribosomal RNA", at positions 169 to 349 of the family's 1533-position model. Lineage: Eukaryota; Viridiplantae; Streptophyta; Magnoliopsida; Asterales; Asteraceae. The record is from RNAcentral.